GAUCCGCCCACCUAUGACAGGAAGACUGGUCAUUGUAUGCACAGUGGGGGACUCGGGCAGUGUCUGUCUGAUCAUCUUACUUGCUGUGACAUCACUGCCCACGGAUCAGAGGCCCUCAGUGCUGGAGGGAGGAACCAGGAAAAGCAAAGCCAGACGUGGGCAGUAUCCAGGCUGGGGCAAGGAUGACCCUCAUGGGCUGAUGGAGGCAGGGAGGUCUGGAGUAGACACACAGCUGACUGCAGGCGCCUGUGCUUCAUGAGGUUGGCCGAAAGUCACCACAGGAGUCUCACCCUGAAGACCCAUCCCAGGGACAUCUUCUCUGUAUCCUGGUUCAGCUGGGAUCCAGUGAGAUCCGGUGAGGACCUUUCCUUCCAAGAUGUUUUUCAAUCAUUCUCAAUAGCGGCCACCCUACUGCCAGCAGAAUAGUAAUAGAAACUGAUAUUUAGGGAUCUAUUUUAAAAGUCUGCCAGGCGGCAGUGGUGCACGCCUUUAAUCCCAGCACUCCGGAGGCAGAGGCAGGUGGAUCUCUUCGAGUUCAAAGACAGCCUGGUCUAUAGAGCAAGUUCCAAGACAGGCUCCAAAGCUACAGAGAAACCCUGUCUUUGGAAAAAAAAAAAAAAAGUCUUUCAGGCUGGGGAUGUGGUUCAGUGCUAGAGCACUUGGUUCAUAGACACAAGGCCCUGGGAUCUAGUCACAAAACUGUGAGAGAAAAAACAAUUUUAAUUAAAUUUCUCCUGGAUUCUAUGCACUGGAAAGUCAUAUGGGUCUCACAUUAUCGCCAGACACUGGGGCUUGUGGUAAAACAGCUGGCGCUGUUUGGUCCUGGAUCCUGUGGUAUCCUGGUGAGGCUGGAGUCUGGCCCAGGCAUGCUUUAGUCGUAUGGAGAUCCAGCGGCCAGUAGGAGCCGGUCACAGGAUACUGGAUGCUCAGAACUCUGGUGCUUCUGGGAGGCCAGGGGUGGCAAGGCAAGUAUGUGCAUGCCAGCUCCAGAAAUAAGCUGGGGACACGAUGGAUCCUGGAUUUUGAGAAUGCACUGAUGGGCAACACCUGUAGGCCCCAUGAUUCUCUUAGGAGGAUAACCAGGGCUUACAACCCAGGGAAACCUUGACUUUAAACCAGUCUUGUUUACAGCAGAGGGACUGACAGCCAUGCGCAGUGUGGGCCCUGUGUUCUCAUGUGUGGGUGAGGGACUCAUACGGGCUCUAUUGUGAUCAAGCUGAGGCUCAGGGCUCUGCUUGGCCUAGAGUGAACUUCAUGGAGGCGGGCUCUGCCAUGCAUAAGGCCACAGUGAACCCUAGAACCUGCAUGUCUUAAAUACCGCUUUGUCUCCAUGAGAAGGACUCCAGAGUCAGCUCUAGACGUCUGGCAUGGCCAGUCCUCUCCCAGGGCAUCCUGACCUGUGCUGCUGUCAUGCUGUGGGAACGUGGCCCCAACAGCGGCAGCCCCAGGGUUAGCUUCAUCCCUGGCUUAUUGCUAUUGUUGCUCUCACUCCUCCCCAAGCCUGUCACGGGCCCCAGAGUGAGCUUCAAUCUGGAACCCACAAAGGCACCUGCUUCUCAACGUCCCGGUUUCUCCAACUAGAAAAAUGUUGUCCACCUUGCCACUCGUAAGAAAGUGGGACUCUAAGUGGCACAGAGAAUCCCAGCCCUGUAGGCUACUCUUGUUCCCUUUUCUGGCUCUGGGACCCAAUAAGUUCCCCCAACUUUCUCCUUUGUGCCUCAGGGCUGGGUCUUGUCGGACCUGGUAAAGCCCUGAGAUUCCUGGAGGCUCUCAGUCUCCAGCACCUGCAGGCAGCUUUUCUCACUAGUCCUUCCCUGUAGUACCCAUAUCUGCCAGCAGAGGGCGGAAGUGUCUCAGCUGAGCCCGGGCACUCCAGCCUUGCUGGAGGGAGCCAGUGAGAGUGUCUACACUGCAUGGAAAUCCUGGGGCACCUGCCAGAAACUUUCCUGGGACUCUCUCUGAUGCCUCAUCACUCAGGAGGAGUGAGAAGAUCUGUGGCCCUCAGGAUUCUCACUGGGCACCCUAAACAGAGUAGAUGGGAUAAGCAAUAAUCUCAGAAUGCCAGGUGGAGAGAGGCUCCAGUCCAGCAUGGGCAUGUCAGACCCUGGUGCACAGGCUGGGUAGGCCCCAGAGUGCAGAAACUCCACUGUCCUGCAGAAAUCUCACAAGAGCCUCCUUUCCCAGCUUCCGAUUGGCCUAGCCAUGCCGUGGAGUCCCUGAAGCCUUAUUCCCCUGCGGCUAAUAGAGGAUGUGUCCCUCGGGCAAAUAUACUCUAACUAGGAUCUGGGGCAGUGUUCUGCUCACCAGCAUCCACCAGGCAUCUGUGUUGGCAUGUCUGGGCUAGAUGGAGCCUAGAUGUAAAAACCGAUUCUGGGCUUGCCAGGGUAGACCUAUUAGGAGGGUCCCAGAGCUACACAGACGGCCAAGUAUUCAUGUGAGUCUCAGGGGACCCCAGCAAGGUCUCAUUGGAUGGCUGUCUCUGUAUUCAGCCCCCAUGUCAUCCCCUCUCACUCUUACAUUUCUCGCUCUGCUGGGAAGCUUGGGGAAGGCCUUCCGGAACACCAACAACAGACGCCCCCAAGCUUCUCACACAUGGGAAUUCUGCGCUGGCAGCUUUAGCUGAGAUGCCCACUUGGGUGCCCAGCACUUGGAUACAGCAGCUGCUGGCCUGAGGUCCUUGAUAUCUAGGGCCCCCUCUGACUCAUGUGGAAGCCCUUCCUUUGCAGUUGGUGUCUUCUAUCUUCAUCCCAUUUUGACAUGUGAGAAGCACAUGCUAAAAUCACCUCCCCUGCCACCCUAUCCCUGGUUUCUUCUAAGACCUGAGUUCACAGAUUCAGAGCAAAACCCACUGUCUUUUACUGGCUUGCCAGACUGAGGCCAUAGAGCCUGGAGUCCACAUGUCCAAGGGUCAGAUGGGCCAUGGAACACAGCGAGAACAGCUGUACAGUGGGAGCUAUGGCCUCGCAAGCUCAGCACAUUGCAUGUACAGUCGGGCUCUGACCUUUACAGCAAGCUGUGGUGUGAGCCCUUUCCUCCUCCACACAGAUGGAUAACAGGGCUUCAAGAGCUGAGAAAUCUGACCCAGAACCAUAAUCAAGUGCUCUGCUUUGGUAAUGGCAUCAUCCCCCCCCCCCUAGAACACAGCUAAAUCUGGUUUUGAAAUGCAUCAGCCGCCUGUCUGUGCUUGGGUUUUGUUGUAGUUAAACCAUUAGUGUAGGUUUUUAUUCUGGGGAGACAUAUAUAGUGCUAGGCUUAUGCAUCUCAUCAUUUCUAAUGCACAGCUGAGGGUACUCAGUUCCUGUUGUGAAACCCUCACCACCCUUUAGCUCCAGAGUGAUCACCUUCCCUCACUGAGGCUCUAUCCCCACUAGACACCAGUCUCCAACACCUUCUCCCUAGAGCCUGGACACCAGUCUCCAUCACCCUCUCCCUAGAGCCUGGACACCAGUCUCCAUCACCCUCUCCCUAGAGCCUGGACACCAGUCACCACACCCUCUCCCUAGAGCCUGGACAUCAGUCUCCAUCACCCUCUCCUAGAGCCUGGACACCAGUCUCCAUCACCCUCUCCUGGUGCCUGGACACCAGUCUCCAUCACCCUCUCCCUAGAGCCUGGACACCAGUCUCCAUCACCCUCUCCCUAGAGCCUGGACACCAGUCUCCAUCACUUUCUCCCUAGAGCCUGGACAUCAGUCUCCAUCACCCUCUCCUAGUGCCUGGACACCAGUCUCCAUCACCCUCUCCUAGUGCCAGGACACCAGUCUCCGUCACCCUCUCCCUAGAGCCUGGACACCAGUCUCCAUCACCCUCUCCUAGAGCCUGGACACAAGUCUCCAUCACCCUGUCCCUAUUUCCUGAUAGGCAUCAUUCUUCUUGCAGUCUCUACAUUUGGUGGCUCCAGGGAAUUCAAGUUGAUGGAUCAUGCAGCAUUUGUCCUUUUGUGUCCGGCUUAUUUCUCUCUUCAUCGUGCCCUCAGUGUUCACUUGUGCUGUAAUGGUUGUCAAAACACCCCUCAUCCUCAGAGAUGAGAGAUACUCUGUGUGGAUGAUAUAUUGUGUUGUCUCAUUCACCCACUGAUGGGCUCUGGGCUGCUUCUGCCCCAGCUGUUGUGAGCAAUUCUAUAAGGAACUUGUGUGUAGAAAUCUAAGACCCUGUUCUCCUUUUGUCUGCAUCUUGGUUACCUUCCUGUUGCUGUGAUAAAUUGCACCAGCAAAAGCAACUUAAGGGAGAAAGGGUUUAUCCCAGUUCACAGUUCAAGGUACGCACAAUCAGUCAUCACAGCGGGAGGUCAAGGCAACGGGAGCCUAAAGCGGCUGGUCAUGGGAAGAAGCAAGGGAUGCACAGUACCCCUUCUCUACUUAUACACACCAGAGAAUGGUCCCACCUGUAAUUGAGACGCAUUUUACCGUAUCACUGAAGUUAUCCAGGAUACUCCCACACAAGCACUGACAUUGGUUUCAGGGAUUGAACUAUGUUUGGCAGGUUUCCUCAGCAAGUGCCUUUACCCACUGCACUACCCCUCGGGUCCCCUCCAUUUAGUAUAUUUUGGAUAUUGCUUCAUAUCAGUUAACACUUUCUCUGACACUGUAGCUACACAUUUUCUUAUCAUAAUUUACUUAACUCACAAGGAUCAUUCCAAGCUCUGAAUGUUAAAUUCAAUGUCUGGUCAGGCCCAGCGUCUCCACUGAACCAUGUGAACCUGUGUCACCAUCCAAGAGUCUACUGGUUGAUGAAAGUGAUGAGUCAGGUCGGUCCCUUGACGGCUGCUGGGGAGGGUGUGGCAGAUCCCAGGGAAGACACAGUCUGUUGUGAAGAUUUUACUGAAACUGUGGUGCACUGUGUCUAAAUGAACCCUUAGAACUUUCGUUUUACAGAAAGACAGUCAAGUUGAUUUUCUCACCAGCAGGCCCUUUGUCAGUUCUGUGGCUUCACAAUUAAAAUCUGACAGAAGAGAAUUCAUUCUCUCACAGUGUGCCUUGGAUUCAUACUAAAGUCAGCAUUUGUCAUGAGCAUAUUGCUUGUGAAAAGGACAGUUUCCAAUCUUUUGUCCGUUUCUCUGUGACUGUGUCUACCUUUCAAACAAAAUUCAAUUGAAGCCUGGGCGGGGAAGAUGGCCCAACUGAGUAUCUGCUAUGCAAGUAUGAGGAUCUGAGUCCAUAGUCCCAGCAGCCAUGUUAAAAAGCCAGGAGAAGCAGCUCACGUGGAAGGGACAGGGAGAAGGAUCCCUGGAGCUCACUGCCCAGUCUAGCCAAAUCGACAAGCUCUAGGUUCAGUGAGAGACCCGACCUCAAAACAUAAGGUGGAGAGUGAUAGAGGAAGACCCCUGGACUUGAUCUCUGGCCUCCACACGCCCACAGCACACAGCACGCCCCUGUGUGCUCGUAUGCACACUGUCUCGUGAGACAAAUUGAAGCUGGAUAGAAGCUGGUAUUUCCUGUCAUUUCUGAGCAACAUACCAAUAAAAAUGUGUUUGUCCUCCACAAAUGAGAGAAUGGCUUUUUCCUCAGUUGGCAUCUCACUGUGCAUAAAGAAUGGUCCCAGGCUAGGGUCAGGAUCAGAGCCUCCGCUGAACCGUGUGAACCUGUGUCACUGCCCAAGAGUCUGCUGGAUGAUGAAGGUGAUGAGGCAGGUCAGUCCCUUGAAGGCUGCCGGGGAGGGUGUGGCAGAUCCCAGGGAGACACAGAAUGUUCGUUUGCUGUGUUCCCUAUUGAACUCAAAGACUGGGGGACCAGGGAAAGCAGGUCCAGAAUCUCAGAGAAGUCUGGAGGAGGCAAACAAGCCAUGCCUGGCAGGGUAUCGGGUGAGCGUGCCUCUUUGCUGCUCAGAAUGCGUGAGAUCCGACUUGCAGGAUUUCAUAAAUCACAACUGUUUUAGCUUCGAGAGGAGGGAUUGAUUAAGGUCUGAGCCAUCAGGCGUCGAAUGGAUCAGGCUGUCUCUCACCACCUCCCCUUCCCAGACGAGCAAGUCAGCAGUUUUCCGGGAAAGCAGUCUCUACACAUUUAGCAUCAUCACAACGAUUACUGUAAGGGGGCUCGAUGGCCACAGCCAACCAGCGGCUCAGCCUUGGGGCUGGGCACCAGGACAGGGUGGCUGCAGCAGUGUACCCCGGGGGUCUCUGAUGAAACCGCCCCCACAGAGGCCUAGUCUGUCUGGGAAUUCUGCUGUCUGUAACCCUGGGAAGGCUGGGGGAAGGGGCGGUCAGCUGCCUGUCUUGCAGAGGCCCCCACACCUCCAGUAUUUCAUUCAGAUAGCUGUUACGCUUUGAGAACGGCCUGCUGUGACACCCACCUACCCACCGAAUCCAGGAAAGGCAUUUGUUAGUGACAUUUUCCCACAGCCGACUUUGCCCUCAUAAAGCAAUUUGGUGCUCAUAGCUCCCCCUAGUGGAGUGUUGCAAGUAUUUUGCAGGCUCUUCCUCAGAAUCCCGGAGGUGGUAAUAAAUCUGAGAGCACCUGCCACAGCUUCUCACUCUUACGGACUGGAUGGACAGACACUCACCUCUGAAGGAGCAAUCGGUUCCACUUUCCUCCCAUUUCAAGGACACUUUCCACUUUUGGAAUAGUUUCAGGUGAAAGGUGUAGAGUCCCCAAGCCGGUAGUCACCCUCACAUCAACUUAGUGAGAUAUCUUCAUGUACAUCUCACCACGGUGGGAAUCCAGCAACUUUUUUCUGCUGUCCUUCUCUGUCCCAGAGCCCCACAUGACACUCAGAUGCCCCAUGUCCUCAGAGCUGUGAUCGUCCAUGGAAUGUCCCUCUUUAAAAAAUUAGCAAUGAUAGUCUUGGUGACAUGCCAGUACUUUACAGAAUGGCCCUUGGUUUGGAUUUGUCUGCUGUUUUUCUUGUUAUGAGACAGACUAUGGUGUCUUUUCCACCACCUGACAUGAGCGGGGUCUGCCCCACACACUACCCCCUAGAACUCGAAGGCCGGCAGGUCUUCUUCACUUGGAAGUGAUGGAAAACCAAACCCAAACUGGCCUGACAGAGAGGGACCUGGGGAGUUGUAACUCAGUCUGGAGUAUUACUGGCUUUAAGUAUGCCUAAACCAGAUACAUAGAUACUGUCAUGACCAGAUGUCCUAUUGGUGCCCAAUCUACAUUGGCUCUGCCCUCAAAGACCAGCCUCUUCCAGUCUCAGGAAGGCUCCCAGCUGAGUGGAAAAAGCAGACCUGCUGCCCAUGUUGGCCUCAUUCUCUCCCAAGACCAUGUGCUCCACCCUGGACACUUUCCCAUGGCCUGCCAACUUCUUUCCGACACAAGAGCUGAAGAAAAGCAGCGUCUAUAUCUCCUAACAUAGAAUCUGGACUCCUGUCUCCAACCAAAUGUCCCAGCAGACACCAUCUCCUGAUGCCCCCAGACCUCUGUUGUGAGAUAUCACCAAAGGCUUUGAUAAGCUGUUCCAGCUCCAGCCGGUCUCCAAGAGUUAUAUGCCACAUUUACACUCUGCAGUAACUUCCCAGGUGAGAAGCAAUAAGCAGAGUGGGCCUUGUCACCUUGGUGGACAGGCAGGUCCUGUGUUUGAGGCCUGAGUGGAACACAUUAAUAGUUUAAUUUGGAGUGUGACGUACGUGAGGCUUGUUUCCAUCAGAGGCUUAAUUUAGGAGGUGAUAGUGACUGACAAAGAGCAGGCCCCUGGGGUCUUUGGCUUGAUAGGCUGGGGGAAUCUCUCCUGUCAGAAAACAGGCUUUGGGCCACAGCUUUCACUGGGGACAGCCUCCAGUCAGACACCUGAAUCUAUCUAUAGCCAGAGUAUUACCCACCCCAGCCCCUGUCAGCACCCAAGUUCCCAGGGAUGGAGUUGGCAGUCAGCCUAUUUGAUGUCCUUCCCAGGGCUGAGUCUGGAAGGGUGGGGUGUUGUAGAGUGCUUAGUAGGGGAGACGCUGGAAAUGGGGAGCAUGCUGGCUGGGUAUAUAAAUGGAAGAGUUGGGCAGAGCCCUCCCUACACACCUGUAGCUGGGUCGUCGGCUGGUGGCUGGGUUGGGGUGCUGCCAACCGGUUGAGUAAAG
This is a non-coding RNA of Cricetulus griseus (Chinese hamster), 7999 nucleotides long. Lineage: Eukaryota; Metazoa; Chordata; Mammalia; Rodentia; Cricetidae. The record is from RefSeq and is a predicted model, not a curated record.